GGGGACGUUUUGGAUUAGACAGGAUGUUCUGGUUGAGGCAGAUUGCGAGUCCGUGCGCUGUUCACGGUUAUCAACGAGCAAAACAAAUUAAAUGCUAAAAAUAAUGUAAUCGAAGCAAACUUCGCUCCUGCAUAUGCAGUUGCAGCCUAGUUCUUUGACGAAUAGCUACUCAUAGAGCCCAGCUUGCCGGUUUUAUGGGUCAAUUAUGCAAGACGCAGUGCCGUAAUGAUGGUAGCGGCAUCAAGUUUACCAUUAAAGGUUUAGAGUUUCCUUCAAAUAAAACCUAGGGCUGAUUUAACGGUUAGGGUACUUUCCGGAAUCAGUUGAGCUGAUAAGAACCUACACUCGUAGAUAUUUGUUUUGAUCCAUUUUGGACAGGGGUUCAACUCCCCUCGUCUCCACCA
Molecule: transfer-messenger RNA, 404 nt
Filed under: human gut metagenome
Rfam family: transfer-messenger RNA
About the family: Bacterial tmRNA, also known as 10Sa RNA or SsrA, is named for its dual tRNA and mRNA-like properties. Its role is to liberate the mRNA from a stalled ribosome. To accomplish this part of the tmRNA is used as a reading frame that ends in a translation stop signal.
Source: RNAcentral